This 432-nucleotide unclassified non-coding RNA is filed under the name Hevea brasiliensis (rubber tree). Lineage: Eukaryota; Viridiplantae; Streptophyta; Magnoliopsida; Malpighiales; Euphorbiaceae. The record is from RNAcentral.
UGGCACUGGCCCUGAUAAUAGAUUGUUACUGACACUAAAGUUCUUAAGCCGAGUAAGCAAACCAAUUUGUUCAGGAAUAUGACCUGUUAGACGGUUGUGGUCUAGUUUAAGAAUAUUUAGAGUAGAGCAAUUGGCAAUACUUAAUGGGAUUUCGCCCAAGAAAUUGUUGGAGGAUAGAUCAAGGCUUGUAAGAUAUGGUACUAUUUUCGAGAUGUUAAAUGGAAUUGGUCCCUGAAACUCAUUACUGGAAAGGUCUAAGCCUGUUAAGCUGGUACAAUUCUGAAUCCCCAGAGGGAAUCGACCCCUGAGCCCCAUGUCAGAGAGUCUGAGAUUUAAAACUUUGUUCUCAUCAGGAUGCCAGCAAUCCACUCCAGUAAAUCUACAAAUGUAGCCUUCUGUAUUGUUGUUGAAGUUCCAUGAAGCUUUCAAGUA